ACUGGUGUCAGCCGCCGCGGUAAUACCAGCUCUCCGAGUGGUAGGGAUGAUUAUUGGGCCUAAAGCGUUCGUAGCCGGCCUGGCAAGUCUCUCGUUAAAUCCAGCGACUUAAUCGCUGGGCUGCGGGAGAUACUGUUGGGCUUGGGAGCGGAAGAGGCCGACGGUAUUCUCGGGGUAGGGGUGAAAUCCUGUAAUCCCGGGAGGACCACCAGUGGCGAAGGCUGUCGACUAGAACGCGCUCGACGGUGAGGGACGAAAGCUGGGGGAGCGAACCGGAUUAGAUACCCGGGUAGUCCCAGCUGUAAACUAUGCGGGCUAGGUGUUGGGGUGGCUACGGGCCACUUCAGUGCCGCAGGAAAGCCAUUAA
Molecule: ribosomal RNA, 367 nt
Filed under: uncultured archaeon
Lineage: Archaea
Description: bacterial SSU rRNA
Rfam family: Archaeal small subunit ribosomal RNA
Source: RNAcentral